Caenorhabditis elegans is the source of this 21-nucleotide non-coding RNA. The record is from Ensembl. NCBI's taxonomy places the organism in Eukaryota, Metazoa, Nematoda, Chromadorea, Rhabditida, Rhabditidae.
UAUUGAUAGUACAGUGCGUGC